CUUCACGUAGGCGAGUUGCAGCACAGUGUAGCAAUACAUGGGUGGCGACCGGCAAACGGGUGAGUAACGCGUGAGAAUCUGGCUCCAGGUCGGGGAUAACAGUUGGAAACGACUGCUAAUACCGGAUGUGCCGAGAGGUGAAAGAUUUAUUGCCUGGAGAUGAGCUCGCGUCUGAUUAGCUAGUUGGUGGUGUAAGGGACCACCAAGGCGUCGAUCAGUAGCUGGUCUGAGAGGAUGAUCAGCCACACUGGGACUGAGACACGGCCCAGACUCCUACGGGAGGCAGCAGUGGGGAAUUUUCCGCAAUGGGCGAAAGCCUGACGGAGCAAUACCGCGUGAGGGAGGAAGGCUCUUGGGUCGUAAACCUCUUUUCUCAAGGAAGAAGAAAGUGACGGUACUUGAGGAAUAAGCAUCGGCUAACUCCGUGCCAGCAGCCGCGGUAAUACGGAGGAUGCAAGCGUUAUCCGGAAUGAUUGGGCGUAAAGGGUCUGCAGGUGGAACUGAAAGUCUGCUGUUAAAGAGUUUGGCUUAACCAAAUAAAAGCGGUGGAAACUACAGAACUAGAGUGCGGUAGGGGCAAAAGGAAUUCCUGGUGUAGCGGUGAAAUGCGUAGAUAUCAGGAAGAACACCGGUGGCGAAAGCGUUUUGCUAGACCGUAACUGACACUGAGGAACGAAAGCUAGGGGAGCGAAUGGGAUUAGAUACCCCAGUAGUCCUAGCCGUAAACGAUGGAUACUAGGCGUGGCUUGUAUCGACCCGAGCCGUGCCGGAGCUAACGCGUUAAGUAUCCCGCCUGGGGAGUACGCACGCAAGUGUGAAACUCAAAGGAAUUGACGGGGGCCCGCACAAGCGGUGGAGUAUGUGGUUUAAUUCGAUGCAACGCGAAGAACCUUACCAAGACUUGACAUCCUGCGAAUCCUGGUGAAAGCUGGGAGUGCCUUAGGGAGCGCAGAGACAGGUGGUGCAUGGCUGUCAUCAGCUCGUGUCGUGAGAUGUUGGGUUAAGUCCCGCAACGAGCGCAACCCUCGUUUUUAGUUGCCAGCAUUAAGUUGGGCACUCUAGAGAGACUGCCGGUGACAAACCGGAGGAAGGUGAGGAUGACGUCAAGUCAGCAUGCCCCUUACGUCUUGGGCUACACACGUACUACAAUGCUACGGACAGAGGGCAGCGAGCCAGGGAUGGCAAGCGAAUCCAGAAACCGUAGCUCAGUUCAGAUCGAAGGCUGCAACUCGCCUACGUGAAG
Molecule: ribosomal RNA, 1243 nt
Filed under: Cylindrospermopsis raciborskii NRERC-503
Lineage: Bacteria; Bacillati; Cyanobacteriota; Cyanophyceae; Nostocales; Aphanizomenonaceae
Also listed under: 2 other names
Description: bacterial SSU rRNA
Rfam family: Bacterial small subunit ribosomal RNA
Source: RNAcentral